Molecule: long non-coding RNA, 377 nt
Filed under: Zea mays
Lineage: Eukaryota; Viridiplantae; Streptophyta; Magnoliopsida; Poales; Poaceae
Description: long non-coding RNA (ZMAY_LNC003997)
Source: RNAcentral
CGCAGUCUGAUUCGCCUGUUUCCUUUUACUCGCAUCUUGAUUCUAGUGAACAAAGUGAUAGCGAGGUAAGACAUACUCAACUCUAGCAUUCGAAACUUCAUUGCAAAUUAUACUGGUGAAGGGAUAAAUUACCAUUUUCAGUAGACGAACUUUACUUCACCUUUUCUAGUACCACAUUUAUCAGCAGUACAGUUUUACACCAUUCAUCCUUGUGAAUUAUCGUCACCAAAGUUGAACAUCUGAAUGAUUGGAGAUACAUGCCUACAGAGACCAAAGAUUUGUGUUAAUGUAGAACUAAAAACUAGAUAAGUUGUUUAUAAUUUUUACCGAAGUAGUUGCCUGAACUUUGAUCUGGGCUUUAACCCUUUAGAUUUAAA